RNAcentral lists this non-coding RNA (28 nucleotides) under Homo sapiens (human). The record is from RNAcentral. Lineage: Eukaryota; Metazoa; Chordata; Mammalia; Primates; Hominidae.
CAGUUUGUGAGAGGCAGCUGUUGCUUAG